RNAcentral lists this ribosomal RNA (735 nucleotides) under uncultured Bacillota bacterium. RNAcentral's name for it is "bacterial SSU rRNA". It matches the Rfam family "Bacterial small subunit ribosomal RNA", at positions 75 to 843 of the family's 1533-position model. Lineage: Bacteria; Bacillati; Bacillota. The record is from RNAcentral.
UGGAGCAAUCCAUGAGUACAGUGGCGUACGGGUGAGUAACACGUGGAUCAUCUACCUCUUAGUGGGGAAUAACCCUGGGAAACCGGGGCUAAUACCGCAUAAGCCUGAAAAGGGAAAGCAGCAAUGCGCUGAGAGAGGAGUCCGCGGCCGAUUAGCUAGUUGGUAGGGUAAUGGCCUACCAAGGCAAUGAUCGGUAGCCGGCCUGAGAGGGCACACGGCCACACUGGCACUGAAACACGGGCCAGACUCCUACGGGAGGCAGCAGUGGGGAAUCUUGCACAAUGGAGGAAACUCUGAUGCAGCGACGCCGCGUGAGCGAUGAAGCCCUUCGGGGUGUAAAGCUCUUUCGACGGGAACGAUAAUGACGGUACCCGGAGAAGAAGCUGCGGCUAACUACGUGCCAGCAGCCGCGGUAAUACGUAGGCAGCAAGCGUUGUUCGGAAUUACUGGGCGUAAAGAGUGUGUAGGCGGUUCUCUAUGUUCGGUGUGAAAUCUCCCGGCUUAACUGGGAGGGUGCGCCGAAAACUGGAGGGCUUGAGUAUGGGAGAGGAAAGCGGAAUUCCUGGUGUAGCGGUGAAAUGCGUAGAUAUCAGGAGGAACACCUGCGGUGUAGACGGCUUUCUGGACCAUCACUGACGCUGAGACACGAAAGCGUGGGUAGCAAACAGGAUUAGAUACCCUGGUAGUCCACGCCCUAAACGAUGCAUACUUGGUGUGAGCCGUUCAUUCGGUUCG